This 502-nucleotide long non-coding RNA is filed under the name Elaeis guineensis (African oil palm). RNAcentral's name for it is "long non-coding RNA (EGUI_LNC048390)". The record is from RNAcentral. Lineage: Eukaryota; Viridiplantae; Streptophyta; Magnoliopsida; Arecales; Arecaceae.
GCCUGCUCCUGUAGUGGGUGCAUGAAGAAGGUAGCCACGCGAAGCAGUAUUUAGAAGAAUUUUAAUUUCUUUUACCUUCAAUUCAAUAGUGCUUCCACUUACUUUGCCAUUUCCAUAGAAUUCUCUAAAAAGGUUGGGAUAAGUGGGAAGGUUUAAGGUGCACAAAAAUUCCCAACUAACAUCCUUGAUUUUCCUACCAAUCUCAAAUCCCUCCUUAUCUAAAAAAUCAAAAUCUAUGUUCUUCUUUACUAAAGUAAUUGAUCUUGAAGAUAAAAGAACAAUUUGACUUGAUGAGGGAGGAGAAGGAUGUGCCAUUGGUUGUGGUGGAGAAGGUACCCGUGGUUGAGGAGGAGGGUGAGUUGAUGAUUCAGUCUGUGAAGAUGAUAGAAUUAUUUAACUUGUAUCCAUUUCUUCUCUUAGAUCUAACCAAAACUUAGUCCUUCUUUCUUCCGAUAAAGAUCCGUAUGAGUAUGUUCUCGAUGGAGGAUGUUGAUAUGGUCUC